Molecule: ribosomal RNA, 301 nt
Filed under: uncultured bacterium
Lineage: Bacteria
Description: partial 16S ribosomal RNA
Rfam family: Bacterial small subunit ribosomal RNA
Source: RNAcentral
CAGCAGCCACGGGAAUACGAAGGGUGCAAGCGUUAAUCGGAAUUACUGGGCGUAAAGGGCUCGCAGGCGGUUUCUUAAGUCUGAUGUGAAAGCCCCCGGCUCAAUCGGGGAGGGUCAUUGGAAACUGGGAAACUUGAGUGCAGAAGAGGAGAGUGGAAUUCCACGUGUAGCGGUGAAAUGCGUAGAGAUGUGGAGGAACACCAGUGGCGAAGGCGACUCUCUGGUCUGUAACUGACGCUGAGGAGCGAAAGCGUGGGGAGCGAACAGGAUUAGAUACCCGCGUAGUCCCUGUCUCUUAUAC